This is a long non-coding RNA of Papaver somniferum (opium poppy), 2571 nucleotides long. RefSeq lists it as uncharacterized. The record is from RefSeq and is a predicted model, not a curated record. The transcript is spliced from 20 exons. NCBI's taxonomy places the organism in Eukaryota, Viridiplantae, Streptophyta, Magnoliopsida, Ranunculales, Papaveraceae.
UUUAGAUCCAAGAUAUUUUGGUUCAUCCUUAUCCACAAGCAGACAGUUAGGUCUGAAACUUUUAGUCCAUCCCCACUGAAAAUCAACAAUUUAAAACUAAAAAUAUCAAAAAUGCUUUUCAGUCAGGAGAAGCUACAUCACAAUAAUGUAGGUACAGUGACCGACUUGCAAUCCAAUUGAGCUUUGUACCUUCGUAUCCUUGCAGCGCUGUAUGAAGGCCUUGUCCAUUCACCAGAGAUCUUCACUCAUUGAAAAUCAAGAUAGAAGCCUCAAGAAAGAAUUGCAGGCUUUGGCUGAGGCAAUGAAAACCAUCAGCGAUGAUACUGAACCAGCAUUACGUGCCUCUGGUGUUUCAAUUAAAUCUCAGUUCACUCAACUUGAAGGCUGUGUAUUAUAACCUCCAAGGUUUCUGAAGGGCCUGGACUGCAUUUAAAUACUCAAAUCUUCCUUGUUGAAAUUGUUGGGCGAGCAACACCCCAGAGCGUGGACUUUCUGAAGGAUCAAAAUGUGCUCCGGACUGUAUUGACUGUAUUGCAGGUUCUACUGCACUGGGAACGCUUUUCUUACCACAAAUAUCGUUGAUCUUUUUGGGCAUGCUGAAUGUGUACAGCGCCAGUGAGCUUAUUCCUAGUAGUAUCGCGAGGGCGGACCCUUUUCGUCAAAAGCUUCCUACGUAAAACUUCCACGAUCAGUGAAAAGGGAGACUCUCGAGCUCAUUGGAGCUUUUUUGGACAAGGCUGAAGAUCAACCCAAAUUGAGAGCAGUUUGUGCCGCAAAUGAUGGAUCCUGUUCUUGGUGAUUAUGCGAGGAGUUCGCCUGAAAAGAGGGAGUCUGAAGUUCUUUCUGUGUUUGCAACAAUCAUAAACAAGUACAAAGGUGUGAUUACAGAGGAUGUUCCUCGCAUAUUUGAAGCUGCAAUUGAAUAUACCCUCUCUCUGUUGAACUAUUCAUCUGUCUCUCUAUGCAUACUAACAACUGAAGCUCGUCAUGGAUUCCAUUAUAUGGGCUUUCAGAAACAUCCAAAGAAAUUUCGCUGAAACUGGGCUCAACCUACCAGUUUCAAGAAACAUAUCCGUGACUUAUGCAGUCCAAAGAAUUCUCAGACAAGGAUAACACGGAUCUUUAUGCUGAGGAGGCAGCUAAUGCUAUAUAGAGAGAAGAAGAGCCUCAGAGGAGUGAUUGUUUUGCCCAUCAGGUGUUUUUCUCCUGUAGAAUGCUUAACACCCAUUGGUGGUUAGGAGUGACAGUUUGCUUCUGAUUUUGCAUGCAGGUUGGAGAGAGCGAGCUUUUAGUAUCUGUGCUUCUGACAGGCCUUCCCAAUACAAUUGUGGAUCUCGAGCCUCAGCAGUUUCAUACAUUUUAUGAGUCAGUUAAGAUGGCUAGUUAUAGUUGAACAAGUUGGGAAAAUUUUGAAGAUUAACAAGAGGCAGUUUAUGCAGUGCUGGGAGGUUCUUAUCUAUCUGCAACUUGAUCCCGGCACAACAAGAAGUUCAUGAACAACUACAGAAAUGGGCUGAAAUUAUUGGACAGACAUGACAGAGUGUGGAAUUUCUGAAGGAUCAAGUUGUGAUCCGGACUGUAUUGAACAUAUUGCAGAUACAAAGGUGUGAUGACUGAGGAUGUUCCUCCCAUAUGUGAAGCUGUUUUCGAAUGCACCCUUACGGUUACAAAGAACUUUGACGACUAUCCUGAACGCCACCAUGAAUUCUUUUCAUAACUGCCAGCGACUGCUAAACAUCGUCUCCCGGCUCUAAUUAUUUUGUCAGAGUUAGCUUGUCAAUGUUGUCAUGAAUUUCAUUAUAUGGGCUUUCAGAAACACCGAAAGAGAUGUCGCUGAAACUGGGCACAACCUCCUGUUGGAGAUGCUGAAGAAUUUUUCAUAUUUCUGAGACUUGCAAUCUGUUCCGCCGGACUUACUUCGUCACAAUCAAGCAAGAGAUUUUUGUGGUCCUAAGUAAUACAUUCCAUAAACCUGGUUUCAAGCAACAUGUUUUAGUCCUGCACAGUCCUGCACCUCCUAUUUUGCCUGGUGGACUCUAGUUUAUUAACAGAGCCUCAUCUGUGCCUUACCCUAACAACACUAUUAGUUCAUGAAUACCCUAUUAAGCUUCUGGGUUCGUCAUUCCAAACAUGACUACGGCAGAGAACGACCCUGCCAGCUUCAAGAAUCAUAUCCAUGACUUCUUGUGCAGUCCAAAGAAUUCUCAGAUAAGAAAUUGGUUGAAAUUAUUGGGCAAGCAUAUGACAGAGCGUGGAUUUUCUUAACUGUGCAUUGAACAUGUUACAGGUACAAAGGUGUGUUUACAGAGGAUGCUCCUCUAAUAUUUGGAGCUGUUUUUGAAUGUACCCUUGAGGAUGAUUACAAAGAACAUUGAAGGCUAUCCUGAACACCGCCUUGUUUUGUGACUCAGAUCUGACUCAGCUGACUCGAUUUUUUAGGACAAAAAAUGCCUUUAUGCACAUUUUAAACCAGAACAUUUACCGUUACUUAAACAUCACAAAUUGUUGCAUUGCAGUCUAAAUAACUUCCCUUUCGGAUGGAAUUAAACAUAUUAGACAUAAUAAAAUAAU